Molecule: ribosomal RNA, 253 nt
Filed under: uncultured bacterium
Lineage: Bacteria
Description: partial 16S ribosomal RNA
Rfam family: Bacterial small subunit ribosomal RNA
Source: RNAcentral
UACGUAGGGGGCUAGCGUUGUCCGGAAUCAUUGGGCGUAAAGAGCGCGUAGGCGGCCAGAUAAGUCCGGUGUGAAAGUCAGAGGCUCAACCUUUGAAUGCCGCUGGAAACUGUCUGGCUAGAGUCCGGAAGGGGCGAGUGGAAUUCCUGGUGUAGCGGUGAAAUGCGCAGAUAUCAGGAAGAACACCCGUGGCUAAGGCGGCUCUCUAGUACGGUACUGACGCUGAGACGCGAAAGCGUGGGGAGCGAACAGG